GGUCAAGCUAUAAAGGGCUUACGGUGGAUACCU
RNAcentral lists this ribosomal RNA (33 nucleotides) under Oscillatoria sp. CCAP 1459/26. RNAcentral's name for it is "partial 23S ribosomal RNA". The record is from RNAcentral. Lineage: Bacteria; Bacillati; Cyanobacteriota; Cyanophyceae; Oscillatoriales; Oscillatoriaceae.